Molecule: ribosomal RNA, 406 nt
Filed under: uncultured bacterium
Lineage: Bacteria
Description: partial 16S ribosomal RNA
Rfam family: Bacterial small subunit ribosomal RNA
Source: RNAcentral
AUUGAACGCUGGCGGCAGGCCUAACACAUGCAAGUCGAACGAGUGGCGGACGGGUGAGUAAUGUCUGGGAAACUGCCUGAUGGAGGGGGAUAGCUACUGGAAACGGUAGCUAAUACCGCAUACCAGCAGAUGUGCCCAAAUGGGUUUAGCGUGGUGGUGGGGUAACGGCUCACCAAGGCGACGAUCCCUAGCUGGUCUGGGAGGAUGACCAGCUAAACUUGGACUGAGAAACGGUCCAGACUCCUACGGGAGGCCGCAGGGGGGAAUAUUGCAAAAUGGGCGCAAGCCUGAUGCCGCCAUGCCGCGUGUAUGAAGAAGGCCUUCGGGUUGUAAAGUACUUUCAGCGGGGAGGCGUUACCCGCAGAAGAAGCACCGGCUAACUCCGUGCCAGCAGCCGCGGUAAUAC